This 621-nucleotide long non-coding RNA is filed under the name Homo sapiens (human). RNAcentral describes it as "non-protein coding LINC01724:5". The record is from RNAcentral. Lineage: Eukaryota; Metazoa; Chordata; Mammalia; Primates; Hominidae.
GUAAGGAGCAAAGAAAAAUUUCUCAGAAAAGGAGAUUUGAAGCACAAUUGUCAUCAGUUCACAGAAGAAUUUUGAAGUUCUGUUUCCAGAGGCCUCUCUCUGCCUGCCCAGAGACUGUACAUCUUCAGAGAUGAGCAAAACUCUGCACUCUGCAAAAUCAGCACCCUCUGUCUAAUCAAAAGUUAACUUGGCCCAGGUUUUAGUUUCUCUGUAAGUUUUGUUGGAAAGUAAUAUAAUAAAUCUUAUUACAAGAUACAGCUGAUUAUGUAUACAUUAUGUCUUUGGAGAAAUUUGCAUUUUAAGAGGAAGGUCAAGGAUGCCUUAAUUACAAACAUUGCAUUUUUGGUUAUUUAAAUAGUAUCUGGGAAAACGGUGAAGAUAUAUAGGAAGUUAAGAAAGAUACCUGUAUCUACCACGUGUGAAAGAUUAUCUCAGUAAAUAGAAUUGGCUACAUAUUCAUCUAUUAUAAUAAUACCAAAAAAGAAGAUAUAUAUCUUCAAAGCGUCACAAUUUUUGUAGUCAGCAAAAUGAAUGGCAAAGAUAAUGAGAGAAUAAAGAUACAAAAAUGAGUAUUUAAAAAUAGAAUUCCAAUGGGAAAACUGUUAAUUUUAAAAAUUAUAU